GCUGGGCAUGGUGGUGCGUGCCUGUAAUCCCAGCUACUCAGGAGGCUGAGGCAGGAGAAUCACUUGAUCCUGGGAGGUGGGGGUUGCAGUGAGCCGAGAUCGCGCCAUUGCACUCCAGCCUGGGUAACAAGAGCGCACUCCGACUCAAAAAAAAAAAAAAAAAAAACCAGAAACACCAAGUCUGAAGUAUCUGAUUUUCUUUUCUUUCCUUUUUCUGGAUGCAGUCUCACUCUGUUGCCAAGCUGGAGUGCAAUGGCACGAUCUCGGCUCACUGCAACCCCCACCUCCCAGGAUCAAGUGAUUCUCCUGCCUCAG
RNAcentral lists this signal recognition particle RNA (315 nucleotides) under Callithrix jacchus (white-tufted-ear marmoset). RNAcentral's name for it is "Metazoan signal recognition particle RNA (ENSCJAG00000074459.1)". It matches the Rfam family "Metazoan signal recognition particle RNA". From Rfam's summary of the family: The signal recognition particle (SRP) is a universally conserved ribonucleoprotein. It is involved in the co-translational targeting of proteins to membranes. The eukaryotic SRP consists of a 300-nucleotide 7S RNA and six proteins: SRPs 72, 68, 54, 19, 14, and 9. Lineage: Eukaryota; Metazoa; Chordata; Mammalia; Primates; Cebidae. The record is from RNAcentral.